RNAcentral lists this ribosomal RNA (551 nucleotides) under Diploschistes scruposus. Its description in RNAcentral is "SSU rRNA". It matches the Rfam family "Bacterial small subunit ribosomal RNA", at positions 393 to 962 of the family's 1533-position model. The record is from RNAcentral. Lineage: Eukaryota; Fungi; Ascomycota; Lecanoromycetes; Ostropales; Graphidaceae.
AAUGUGAUGUACCUAGUAAUAUUAGUGAUUAAUAUGAGGCUAACCGAGUUAGUUAAAAUUCUAAGUAUAUAUGUGAUUAUGACAAUAUGUGCUUAUUUCUUGACCAAGUCACGUGCCAGCCGUCGCGGUAAUACGUGGAAGAUCAGUGUUAUUCAUCUUUAUCAGGUUUAAAGGGUACCUAGACGGUUAAUUAAGCUUUAGUAGGAACUAAUUAACUAGAGUUUAAUGUAAGAAUGAUUGAGUACGGUGAGUGUAGAGAUAAAAUUCUGUCAUACCACUUAGGAACUGGUAAAAGCGAAGGCAACUUUCUAUGUAAAAACUGACGUUAAGGGACGAAGGCUCGUAUCAAAUAACAGGAUUAGAUACCCCAGCAUUGUGGGCAGACAAUGAUGAGUGUCAUAUGCAAGAGAUAAAUAUAUAAAAAAAUAUUUUGUGUHUAAAUGAAAGUGUAAGCACUCCACCUCAAGAGUAACGUGGCAACAUGGGAACUGAAAUCAUUAGACCGUUUCUGAAVCUCGUAGUGAAGUAUGUUGUUUAAUUAGAUGGUGCAC